GAUGAACGCUGGCGGCGUGCCUAAUACAUGCAAGUCGAGCGAACAGACGAGGAGCUUGCUCCUCUGACGUUAGCGGCGGACGGGUGAGUAACACGUGGAUAACCUACCUAUAAGACUGGGAUAACUUCGGGAAACCGGAGCUAAUACCGGAUAAUAUAUUGAACCGCAUGGUUCAAUAGUGAAAGACGGUUUUGCUGUCACUUAUAGAUGGAUCCGCGCCGCAUUAGCUAGUUGGUAAGGUAACGGCUUACCAAGGCAACGAUGCGUAGCCGACCUGAGAGGGUGAUCGGCCACACGGGAACUGAGACACGGUCCAGACGCCUACGGGAGGAAGCAGUAGGGAAUCUGCAGCAAUGGGCGAAAGCUUGACGGAGAAACGCCGCGUGAGUGAUGAAGGUCUUCGGAUCGUAAAACUCUGUUAUUAGGGAAGAACAAAUGUGUAAGUAACUAUGCACGUCUUGACGGUACCUAAUCAGAAAGCCACGGCUAACUACGUG
Molecule: ribosomal RNA, 497 nt
Filed under: uncultured bacterium
Lineage: Bacteria
Description: partial 16S ribosomal RNA
Rfam family: Bacterial small subunit ribosomal RNA
Source: RNAcentral